CCAGCCAGUACGAUGACAAAGAGGCGGUUCUCAUCACAAUGAAUCGGCCCAUGAUUUACUUUCAACCCAUUGCUCUCGAUAAAGCGGUCCUCGUCUGGCUUAACUACAAGAAUGCCUAUGAAUACUGGAAUGAGCAACGAGGAAGCUUAAAUAAAGAGGUGAGUCUCUUUUU
Molecule: long non-coding RNA, 172 nt
Organism: Rhipicephalus sanguineus (brown dog tick)
Lineage: Eukaryota; Metazoa; Arthropoda; Arachnida; Ixodida; Ixodidae
Exons: 2
Source: RefSeq, a predicted model, not a curated record